This 223-nucleotide unclassified non-coding RNA is filed under the name uncultured Bryobacterales bacterium. Its description in RNAcentral is "contains 16S-23S intergenic spacer region". Lineage: Bacteria; Pseudomonadati; Acidobacteriota; Terriglobia; Bryobacterales. The record is from RNAcentral.
UCCAGCUUAUCGCUGGCGGUCUCCUGAGAGUUCCCAACUAAAUGAUGGCAACACAGGACAAGGGUUGCGCUCGUUGCGGGACUUAACCCAACAUCUCACGACACGAGCUGACGACAGCCAUGCAGCACCUCGACUACAGUCUCUUGCGAGAAGUCCCUGUUUCCAAGGAUUGUCCAUAGCCGUUCGAGCCCAGGUAAGGUGGGGAUGACGUGUAACCGAAUCU